UUGCCAAAGGAAACUAAAUUGCAGGUAUUUAGUAUUCAACAAAGGACUAACAGACUUGAAAUAUUAAUUGCCCUACUCCAUCUAAACCAGAUUGAUGAGGCAUGUUUUGGGGCACAAUGUGGUUAGAUCAUGAUUGUUAUGCCUUUAUCCCAGCUAGGUUACCUACUUUCUGAUAUUUAAAGUAAAACUUUAUGUUAUUAUUUCUACAUUGUGUUUCUUCAAAUAGAUGGGAAAAGUUCCUCUUUUUGUUAUUAUUUUUUUUUAUUAUGCAAUUUGUCGUCCAUUUUUAAAUUUGCUUUUCUAAGCGUCAGAAUAUUGACUAUAAGCUCCAUGCUG
RNAcentral lists this unclassified non-coding RNA (336 nucleotides) under Hevea brasiliensis (rubber tree). The record is from RNAcentral. Lineage: Eukaryota; Viridiplantae; Streptophyta; Magnoliopsida; Malpighiales; Euphorbiaceae.